RNAcentral lists this transfer RNA (76 nucleotides) under Herposiphonia versicolor. RNAcentral's name for it is "tRNA-Phe". It matches the Rfam family "tRNA". Rfam says of the family: Transfer RNA (tRNA) molecules are approximately 80 nucleotides in length. Their secondary structure includes four short double-helical elements and three loops (D, anti-codon, and T loops). The record is from RNAcentral. Lineage: Eukaryota; Rhodophyta; Florideophyceae; Ceramiales; Rhodomelaceae.
UGUUUAGAUAGCUCAGUUGGUUAGAGCAAAAGAUUGAAAAUCUUUGUGCCAUAGGUUCAAAUCCUAUUCUGAACAG